GAUGAACGCUGGCGGCGUGCCUAAUACAUGCAAGUCGAGCGAACAGACGAGGAGCUUGCUCCUCUGACGUUAGCGGCGGACGGGUGAGUAACACGUGGAUAACCUACCUAUAAGACUGGGAUAACUUCGGGAAACCGGAGCUAAUACCGGAUAAUAUAUUGAACCGCAUGGUUCAAUAGUGAAAGACGGUUUUGCUGUCACUUAUAGAUGGAUCCGCGCCGCAUUAGCUAGUUGGUAAGGUAACGGCUUACCAAGGCGACGAUGCGUAGCCGACCUGAGAGGGGGAUCGGGGACACGGGAACUGAGACACGGUCCAGACUCCGACGGGAGGCAGCAGUAGGGAAUCUUCCGCAAGGGGCGAAAGCCUGACGGAGCAACGCCGCGUGAGUGAUGAAGGUCUUCGGAUCGUAAAACUCUGUGAUUAGGGAAGAACAAAUGUGUAAGUAACUAUGCACGUCUUGACGGUACCUAAUCAGAAAGCCACGGCUAACUACGUG
RNAcentral lists this ribosomal RNA (497 nucleotides) under uncultured bacterium. RNAcentral's name for it is "partial 16S ribosomal RNA". It matches the Rfam family "Bacterial small subunit ribosomal RNA", at positions 28 to 507 of the family's 1533-position model. The record is from RNAcentral.